Long non-coding RNA from Motacilla alba alba, 1111 nucleotides. RefSeq lists it as uncharacterized. The transcript is spliced from 3 exons. Lineage: Eukaryota; Metazoa; Chordata; Aves; Passeriformes; Motacillidae. The record is from RefSeq and is a predicted model, not a curated record.
UUCAGUGCAUCAUGCUAUACAUAUUUGAGACAGAAGAUGUGAAGCUUCAUGGCACAAGAGUAGAUUCAUUUCUCAUUCAUGUGCUGGUGGGCUCAGAUAACUUCAGCCAGCUCAAGUACACACAUUCCUCAUCCCACAGACUCCCUAGAAUGCCCUGUGCAAUGUAAUGCAAGCCUAGAGUACCCAAACUUUGCAAAUCAUAAGUUCCUUUGUUGUUUGUUUUUUUUUUUCAUUUUAGAUAUGUAAACAGCCUCACUGACUAACAAUAUAUCACAAAAAUCACAACAUUUUAACAUAUGAACAAAAAAAAUUUCUUCCAUCAAGUUGAUAAUGCACGUGGGGUUUGCAAACUGAAGGAUUUCCCUAAUUAAAACCUGAGAAUGGCUGCAGAGUGCACACACCGGCUCUCACAACACUUUUUAACACGCACAGACAAUCAUAAUAUUCAGCUGAAUUGUAGCUGAAAACCACCCCUGCCAGCAGCCAGUUCAUCCUGUACUACCCUAACCCAUAGCUCAGCUCCAAUUCAGAGGGAAAAGAAAUCAAUCUUCAGGUGAAAUUACAGGAGAUCAGCGAGCCUUGAAGGUCCUGCUCUUCUUGCCUGCUCCCAGCACACGGCCCCACUCCUGUGCUCAGCUGGGCACCUUUGUGAAACCAUUCCUGCAUAUUCAGCUGCACGAAGUGAGAUCCUUAUCUGGGGGUUACUGAGCUCAAUGGCUUCACAGAAGAUAUCCAACAAAGGACAGGAAAAAAAAAAUCAACUGGGAAGGAAGAAAUGAAUGAACCAAAGAAGAAAAUUGUUUUGUCAGCUUAAUUUCUGAAGAAGAUGACUGCUCUGGAGAUUCAAACAAAUGGCAGAAGCAGAAAAAUAGGAAGGAGCAGGAAUCCACAGCUGAAGGAUGUUUACAUUCUACCUUUUACAGACCUAUGAAUAUGGAAUCUCAUCUACACAGUAACUCUCAGUCUCCUUCCUCCUGGCAGUAAAAAAGCAGCUGGCAGAGCCAGGAGCUGCCACAGCAGCAGAGCUGGGUCCUGGCACCAGCAGUUUGAGUGGGAAACAACUGAUGCAAGUCAGCAGGCCUGGGCAUGCCAAAGCAGCAAACCCCAGCCC